This 894-nucleotide ribosomal RNA is filed under the name Coniochaeta tetraspora. Its description in RNAcentral is "LSU rRNA". It matches the Rfam family "Eukaryotic large subunit ribosomal RNA", at positions 38 to 963 of the family's 3401-position model. Lineage: Eukaryota; Fungi; Ascomycota; Sordariomycetes; Coniochaetales; Coniochaetaceae. The record is from RNAcentral.
GCAUAUCAAUAAGCGGAGGAAAAGAAACCAACAGGGAUUGCCCCCAGUAACGGCGAAGUGAAGCGGCAACAGCUCAAAUUUGAAAUCUGGCUUCGGCCCGAGUUGUAAUUUGUAGAGGAUGCUUUUGGUGAGGUGCCUUCUGAGUUCCCUGGAACGGGACGCCAGAGAGGGUGAGAGCCCCGUAUAGUUGGACACCGAGCCUCUGUAAAGCUCCUUCGACGAGUCGAGUAGUUUGGGAAUGCUGCUCAAAAUGGGAGGUAUAUCUCUUCUAAAGCUAAAUACUGGCCAGAGACCGAUAGCGCACAAGUAGAGUGAUCGAAAGAUGAAAAGCACUUUGAAAAGAGGGUUAAAUAGUACGUGAAAUUGUUGAAAGGGAAGCGCUUGUGACCAGACUUGUGCCCGGCUGAUCAUCCAGUGUUCUCACUGGUGCACUCUGCCGGGCUCAGGCCAGCGUCGGUUCUCGCAGGGGGACAAAAGCGGCGGGAACGUAGCUCCUCCGGGAGUGUUAUAGCCCGUCGCUCAAUACCCCUGCGGGGACCGAGGUUCGCGCUCUGCAAGGACGCUGGCAUAAUGGUCACCAGCGGCCCGUCUUGAAACACGGACCAAGGAGUCGAGGUUUUGCGCGAGUGUUUGGGUGUCAAACCCGCACGCGUAAUGAAAGUGAACGUAGGUGAGAGCUUCGGCGCAUCAUCGACCGAUCCUGAUGUAUUCGGAUGGAUUUGAGUAAGAGCGUAUAGCCUCGGACCCGAAAGAUGGUGAACUAUGCCUGAAUAGGGUGAAGCCAGAGGAAACUCUGGUGGAGGCUCGCAGCGGUUCUGACGUGCAAAUCGAUCGUCAAAUUUGGGCAUGGGGGGCGAAAGACUAAUCGAACCAUCUAGUAGCUGGGUUACGCGA